AGAAACUGAGCAUCUUGAAGGGGGUGGUCUUCCAUGCAACAAAUUUCAUUUCCUGUUAAUCCACCAGUGGCAUGCUCCUUGGUUUCACUCUUUGCUUACAUAUGAUCUCACUCGCUAAAAGUUUCGAUGAUAUUGGUUGAUAAUUUUCCAAGAAAACCAACAAUAUCCUUUAUUUCAUUGUUCUCUUCCGGUUUUGAUACAAGUCUCCAACCUAAUGGUGGUGGGUGGGCCUUCCGCUACAGAAGCCAAGCUAGUAUUACUAGAAUGCAGCAUAUAUAAGAGUAGUGUCCAGAGUCCAAUUGCAGCAUUUGGUCAGUAUAAAUAUUUCACUUUUAUUUAUUUAUUCAGUAACCAGUUGGUUUGCAGCAGACAGGAGGACAGCUCUGCAACAAGAUCAAGGAACAGUUAAAGAUAUAAAAUUUCUUCACAUUCUCUUUCCCAUCAACAAGACAUUCGACCUCUUUUGCUAGUCUUCCAUGGCUUUGAUUCUCUCUCUUUCUACUGCGUUUUCAUCUGCUGUAAGUAAUUAGUUUUACUAAUCUCUUAUUUUGGUGUCAUGGAAAGGAAGAAGAAGGA
This 576-nucleotide unclassified non-coding RNA is filed under the name Hevea brasiliensis (rubber tree). Lineage: Eukaryota; Viridiplantae; Streptophyta; Magnoliopsida; Malpighiales; Euphorbiaceae. The record is from RNAcentral.